Triticum dicoccoides is the source of this 1632-nucleotide long non-coding RNA. RefSeq lists it as uncharacterized. NCBI's taxonomy places the organism in Eukaryota, Viridiplantae, Streptophyta, Magnoliopsida, Poales, Poaceae. The record is from RefSeq and is a predicted model, not a curated record. The transcript is spliced from 3 exons.
CCCCCAACUCCUUCCUUCGGAUGAGUCAAUAGCUGACGGCGGCCAUCGUGUCUGAGCUCAUGUACACCCAGAUUUGACAGGGAGCAGAACAUGGAUCUCAAUUUUUGGCAGCUCUGUUCUAAUGAAGCCAGCAUGGUUAGGUAGUGCCCGUCAGGCACAACUUGCUCGUUUUCAGCAUGAGGCGGAAGAAGAUUAUUUAGUUUUUUUUUUGUAUGGACUAAUCCAAUGAGGAUGCUGGGCAAGAAAAUAGAAGGAAUGUGGAUCUCAAGACUGAAGAAAAGCAGGCCUCCUUGGUGGCUCUGUGCUCAGAAAAGCAGAUUCGCAAAACUCCGAUUUUUCGACAGCAACUCAUCCGCCUCAGUCUCGUCUUUCGUUGACGGCAGAGCACCACGUAGCAGUGUUCGGGAGCGCAUCUUUGCAAAAAUCUAUACAAGUAUCAGAACCGGUUGUGGAGAUGGGAAUUAGGAAAUCCCUAAUUGCAUAUCUGAAACCAUGACAUUUUUCGUGGAAGGGCUGGGCGUUUCGGCACCAAGGGGCUCACCAUAACUUUUGUUUCGCCAGCCUCGGACUCAUAUGUUCUUAACCAAGUGCAAGAACGGUUUGAGGUGGACAUCAAGGAGCUGCAUGAGCAGAUUGACACUUCAACAUACAUGGCAUCGUAGACGACGACCCCGACAUUGCAAGGACGACGGAAGGAGAAGAUGGAAGAUGGGAUCCUUGAAAGUUUGCUUCAAGUGAUGUUGUUUUUUGCAUGCCUACCUUGCUACUUAGGAGGCAUCAGCAGCAGUUGUACCUUUUUUUAGUCUGAGAGAGAUGUUUGUUUUGUUAAUUAGGCAAAAAUGAAAAUGAUUUUACUUGUGCUAGAAUUGGAUGGAUGAAUGUAUGAUGCAUGGUUUUCUUUGAAAUUUUAAAAAAUCAUUAUAUUUAGACAAAACUUAUUUUUUUCAAACGUUGCAAUAUAUCGUUAAAUAUUAUAUCUAAUCCUGUAACACUCUAAAGUUUUCAAAUUUUGCUUGCUUGGGUAAUUUGAUUUGGUUGAAGAAUCUUUUUUGGAUGAAAUUCUAAACACUAUUCAGAGAAAUCAGCAGCUGCCUUUGUUCAAGAAUGCAGUAAUUCUCUGAACAUUAUUUUGUUUUUCUGUAGCAAGUUAUUCUAUUAGUACUGAACACUAUGCAAGGAAAAUCAGCAGCUGCCAUUCUUCAAGAAUGUACUAAUUCUCUGAACAUUGUUUUGUUUUUCUGUAGCAAAUUAUUCUAUUAAUACUAAAUACUAUGCAAGGAAAAUCAGCAGCUGCCAUUGUUUUAGAGAAUGAGCUAAUUCUUUGGAGAACAUUUGUUUUUCUGUAGCAAAUUAUUGUAUGAAUUCUGAACAUUGUUGAGAGAAAUUGAGCUCUGAACAUUGUUCAAAUAACAGAGAUAGAGCAGUCUGUGUAUACAUUGAGCAUUAAGCUAGAAGAAUUCUUAGCUAAUUUUUGACGAGACAUUGGUGUGCUGAAUGAUCUCUGUUACCCACCAUAAUUUAUUUUUUAUAAUGAUCUCUGUCCCAUUUUAGUACUUGUGGUGUCAUCUUCAAUUUUGUCAUAAAUUAGGAUUUUGUUUAGUUAUAAAUUUUAGGUUUCUAAUCUGGUGCUUG